CAUAGCAGGCUCUAAUAAAGUGUCAUUUUUGAACAAUCUGAUCAACUAUCAUACUAACUUUUGCACUGGAUCGAUUACUGAAUUAACUGGGGGCAUAUACAUCACAUAUAAACCGAGCAAAGAUUCUCACAGGUACUGGUGGUCAUACUUUGUACGCUGCCUGUCACCUCCUGGUAAGCUGAUCAAUCUUUUAGUGGCCUGAAAAGAAAAGAAUCAAGACUGUCGUCAGAUCAAGCAAAGGAACAAACGUUUAUCAUCACUUACACUUCUACAUUUACACAGAGUAGACUAGACAUGAUUGCAUUGACAUUUGACAUACCUUAAGAAGAGUUGGCUAGAGUUUGCCAUCCCAGGCGAAUUGA
This is a long non-coding RNA of Halichondria panicea, 362 nucleotides long. RefSeq lists it as uncharacterized. Lineage: Eukaryota; Metazoa; Porifera; Demospongiae; Suberitida; Halichondriidae. The record is from RefSeq and is a predicted model, not a curated record. The transcript has 2 exons.